Molecule: ribosomal RNA, 264 nt
Filed under: uncultured bacterium
Lineage: Bacteria
Description: partial 16S ribosomal RNA
Rfam family: Bacterial small subunit ribosomal RNA
Source: RNAcentral
UACGGAGGGAGCUAGCGUUGUUCGGAAUUACUGGGCGUAAAGCGUACGUAGGCGGUUAUUCAAGUCAGAGGUGAAAGCCCGGGGCUCAACCCCCGGAACUGCCUUUGAAACUAGAUAGCUAGAAUCUUGGAGAGGUCAGUGGAAUUCCGAGUGUAGAGGUGAAAUUCGUAGAUAUUCGGAAGAACACCAGUGGCGAAGGCGACUGACUGGACAAGUAUUGACGCUGAGGUACGAAAGCGUGGGGAGCAAACAGGGAUUAGAACC